RNAcentral lists this unclassified non-coding RNA (284 nucleotides) under uncultured fungus. RNAcentral's name for it is "sequence contains ITS1". Lineage: Eukaryota; Fungi. The record is from RNAcentral.
CAGCAGGAGGAUGAGCGUCAGCCGCAGCAACUGCUGGAGGCUCAACUGGGUCGCCUCAAUCCAGUUCAGGUCGCCGAGCCGUUGGCCCCAGGCCUGGUACAGCCGGAAGGUAAUCAGCAUGCCGCCGACCACGCAAAGGAAGUACAGGGUGAAGUUCGUUUCGUCCAGCAGCUCGAUGACGCCGGUGGCGUUAAUGAUCUUCACAUGGAACAGAAAGAACGCGGAGACGAUGAUGGUGACCCAGAUUCCGUGAAGCGUUGUCAAUCCUUCCUGGCGGUUUUUCA